GGUUGAUCCUGCCAGUAGUCAUAUGCUUGCAAGAAGAUUAAGCCAUGCAUGUCUAAGUAUAAACAACUUUAUAUUGUGAAACUGGGGACGGGUCAUUAUAACAGGAAUAAUCCCUUUGAUGAUUACUUUCUACAUGGAUAACCGUAGUAAUUCUAGAGCUAAUACAUGGGUAAAAUCACGACUCUUGCGGGGAGUGGUGUAUUUAUUAGAUAAAAACCAGUGCGGGUUCGUCCCGGUUUUGCGGUGAUUCAUAGUAACUGUUCGAAUCGCAUAGCCUGCUGCGGCGAUAGUUCAUUCGAAUUUCUGCCCUAUCAGCUUUGACGGUAGUGUAGUGGACUACCGUGGGUUUAACGGGUGACGGAGAAUUAGGGUUCGAUUCCGGAGAGGGAGCCUGAGAAACGGCUACCACAUCCAAGGAAGGCAGCGGGCGCGCAAAUUACCCAAUCCUAACACAGGGAGGUAGUGAGAUGCAAUAACAAUACCAGGCUUUUAAAGGGUCUGGCAAUUGGAAUGAGUACAAUUUAAAUACCUUAACGAGUAUCCAUUGGAGGGCAAGUCUGGUGCCAGCAGCCGCGGUAAUUCCAGCUCCAAUAGCGUAUACUAAAGUUGCUGCAGUUGAAAAGCUCGUAGUUGGAUUUCUGGUCAGGUGCUCUGGUCCGUUGCCGUCCUGG
RNAcentral lists this ribosomal RNA (671 nucleotides) under uncultured marine cercozoan. RNAcentral describes it as "bacterial SSU rRNA". It matches the Rfam family "Eukaryotic small subunit ribosomal RNA", at positions 6 to 674 of the family's 1831-position model. Lineage: Eukaryota; Cercozoa. The record is from RNAcentral.